This 262-nucleotide ribosomal RNA is filed under the name uncultured bacterium. RNAcentral describes it as "partial 16S ribosomal RNA". It matches the Rfam family "Bacterial small subunit ribosomal RNA", at positions 92 to 354 of the family's 1533-position model. The record is from RNAcentral.
CGACCGGCGCACGGGUGAGUAACGCGUAUGCGACCUGCCCGUCACAGGGGGAUAACACUUAGAAAUGACUGCUAAUACCGCAUAAGACCGCAGUACCGCAUGGUACAGCGGUAAAAACUCCGGUGGUGUAAGAUGGGCCCGCGUCUGAUUAGGUAGUUGGUGGGGUAACGGCCCACCAAGCCGACGAUCAGUAGCCGACCUGAGAGGGUGACCGGCCACAUUGGGACUGAGACACGGCCCAGACUCCUACGGAAGGCAGCAG